RNAcentral lists this ribosomal RNA (2905 nucleotides) under Escherichia coli. Its description in RNAcentral is "23S ribosomal RNA". It matches the Rfam family "Bacterial large subunit ribosomal RNA". The record is from RNAcentral. Lineage: Bacteria; Pseudomonadati; Pseudomonadota; Gammaproteobacteria; Enterobacterales; Enterobacteriaceae.
GGUUAAGCGACUAAGCGUACACGGUGGAUGCCCUGGCAGUCAGAGGCGAUGAAGGACGUGCUAAUCUGCGAUAAGCGUCGGUAAGGUGAUAUGAACCGUUAUAACCGGCGAUUUCCGAAUGGGGAAACCCAGUGUGAUUCGUCACACUAUCAUUAACUGAAUCCAUAGGUUAAUGAGGCGAACCGGGGGAACUGAAACAUCUAAGUACCCCGAGGAAAAGAAAUCAACCGAGAUUCCCCCAGUAGCGGCGAGCGAACGGGGAGCAGCCCAGAGCCUGAAUCAGUGUGUGUGUUAGUGGAAGCGUCUGGAAAGGCGCGCGAUACAGGGUGACAGCCCCGUACACAAAAAUGCACAUACUGUGAGCUCGAUGAGUAGGGCGGGACACGUGGUAUCCUGUCUGAAUAUGGGGGGACCAUCCUCCAAGGCUAAAUACUCCUGACUGACCGAUAGUGAACCAGUACCGUGAGGGAAAGGCGAAAAGAACCCCGGCGAGGGGAGUGAAAAAGAACCUGAAACCGUGUACGUACAAGCAGUGGGAGCCUCUUUAUGGGGUGACUGCGUACCUUUUGUAUAAUGGGUCAGCGACUUAUAUUCUGUAGCAAGGUUAACCGAAUAGGGGAGCCGAAGGGAAACCGAGUCUUAACUGGGCGUUAAGUUGCAGGGUAUAGACCCGAAACCCGGUGAUCUAGCCAUGGGCAGGUUGAAGGUUGGGUAACACUAACUGGAGGACCGAACCGACUAAUGUUGAAAAAUUAGCGGAUGACUUGUGGCUGGGGGUGAAAGGCCAAUCAAACCGGGAGAUAGCUGGUUCUCCCCGAAAGCUAUUUAGGUAGCGCCUCGUGAAUUCAUCUCCGGGGGUAGAGCACUGUUUCGGCAAGGGGGUCAUCCCGACUUACCAACCCGAUGCAAACUGCGAAUACCGGAGAAUGUUAUCACGGGAGACACACGGCGGGUGCUAACGUCCGUCGUGAAGAGGGAAACAACCCAGACCGCCAGCUAAGGUCCCAAAGUCAUGGUUAAGUGGGAAACGAUGUGGGAAGGCCCAGACAGCCAGGAUGUUGGCUUAGAAGCAGCCAUCAUUUAAAGAAAGCGUAAUAGCUCACUGGUCGAGUCGGCCUGCGCGGAAGAUGUAACGGGGCUAAACCAUGCACCGAAGCUGCGGCAGCGACGCUUAUGCGUUGUUGGGUAGGGGAGCGUUCUGUAAGCCUGUGAAGGUGUGCUGUGAGGCAUGCUGGAGGUAUCAGAAGUGCGAAUGCUGACAUAAGUAACGAUAAAGCGGGUGAAAAGCCCGCUCGCCGGAAGACCAAGGGUUCCUGUCCAACGUUAAUCGGGGCAGGGUGAGUCGACCCCUAAGGCGAGGCCGAAAGGCGUAGUCGAUGGGAAACAGGUUAAUAUUCCUGUACUUGGUGUUACUGCGAAGGGGGGACGGAGAAGGCUAUGUUGGCCGGGCGACGGUUGUCCCGGUUUAAGCGUGUAGGCUGGUUUUCCAGGCAAAUCCGGAAAAUCAAGGCUGAGGCGUGAUGACGAGGCACUACGGUGCUGAAGCAACAAAUGCCCUGCUUCCAGGAAAAGCCUCUAAGCAUCAGGUAACAUCAAAUCGUACCCCAAACCGACACAGGUGGUCAGGUAGAGAAUACCAAGGCGCUUGAGAGAACUCGGGUGAAGGAACUAGGCAAAAUGGUGCCGUAACUUCGGGAGAAGGCACGCUGAUAUGUAGGUGAAGUCCCUUGCGGAUGGAGCUGAAAUCAGUCGAAGAUACCAGCUGGCUGCAACUGUUUAUUAAAAACACAGCACUGUGCAAACACGAAAGUGGACGUAUACGGUGUGACGCCUGCCCGGUGCCGGAAGGUUAAUUGAUGGGGUUAGCGGUAACGCGAAGCUCUUGAUCGAAGCCCCGGUAAACGGCGGCCGUAACUAUAACGGUCCUAAGGUAGCGAAAUUCCUUGUCGGGUAAGUUCCGACCUGCACGAAUGGCGUAAUGAUGGCCAGGCUGUCUCCACCCGAGACUCAGUGAAAUUGAACUCGCUGUGAAGAUGCAGUGUACCCGCGGCAAGACGGAAAGACCCCGUGAACCUUUACUAUAGCUUGACACUGAACAUUGAGCCUUGAUGUGUAGGAUAGGUGGGAGGCUUUGAAGUGUGGACGCCAGUCUGCAUGGAGCCGACCUUGAAAUACCACCCUUUAAUGUUUGAUGUUCUAACGUUGGCCCCUGAUCGGGGUUGCGGACAGUGUCUGGUGGGUAGUUUGACUGGGGCGGUCUCCUCCUAAAGAGUAACGGAGGAGCACGAAGGUUGGCUAAUCCUGGUCGGACAUCAGGAGGUUAGUGCAAUGGCAUAAGCCAGCUUGACUGCGAGCGUGACGGCGCGAGCAGGUGCGAAAGCAGGUCAUAGUGAUCCGGUGGUUCUGAAUGGAAGGGCCAUCGCUCAACGGAUAAAAGGUACUCCGGGGAUAACAGGCUGAUACCGCCCAAGAGUUCAUAUCGACGGCGGUGUUUGGCACCUCGAUGUCGGCUCAUCACAUCCUGGGGCUGAAGUAGGUCCCAAGGGUAUGGCUGUUCGCCAUUUAAAGUGGUACGCGAGCUGGGUUUAGAACGUCGUGAGACAGUUCGGUCCCUAUCUGCCGUGGGCGCUGGAGAACUGAGGGGGGCUGCUCCUAGUACGAGAGGACCGGAGUGGACGCAUCACUGGUGUUCGGGUUGUCAUGCCAAUGGCACUGCCCGGUAGCUAAAUGCGGAAGAGAUAAGUGCUGAAAGCAUCUAAGCACGAAACUUGCCCCGAGAUGAGUUCUCCCUGACUCCUUGAGAGUCCUGAAGGAACGUUGAAGACGACGACGUUGAUAGGCCGGGUGUGUAAGCGCAGCGAUGCGUUGAGCUAACCGGUACUAAUGAACCGUGAGGCUUAACCUU